GUGGAGUGGGAUUUGUGUUGUAUCUUGUCUGAUCACAAGCUAUGUUUAGCGGGUGUAUAAGUUAGGCUACUCUCAGUUAUUAUAUGAUCUUGAUAUUUGAACACAUGAAUUACGCUGAAUUAUGUUGGUACAAUGACAGAAUGCUGCUGUGAAGUUGAGUAGCCUCUUGCUUGGAGAACUUUAAGACCUCUGGGACUUAAGUGGGCAUGCAGAGUGCUGUGGUCAGUGUCAAAAUGUGACAUGAUUUUCACUGAUUUAACUUGUCCUUCAUGGCCCAGGUAUGGGUAGGCCUGUCAUGGGAGGCGGAAAAAUGGCCAGCAGGAAGGUGUGCAGCAGCCACCGGAAUGACCUCUUCCACCUCCUCCACUAACAGCUCCUCAUCAGCCGGCAGUGGGAUGGGAUCCUGAAGGGCCAUGUUGCAGAAGCGACGUCACCAAAACUACACUGCACGCCUUUGCAGGAUGGAGCUUCAGGCCACCAGCGGAUUUGCUCACACACCUUUCCACAUGCCCAGGGCCCUCUCCACAACAACGCGGGUCCGGCUAUGGGCGUUGUUGUACCGCGCCUCUGCCUCGCUAUUGGGCUCCUAGAUGGAGCAGUUGACAUGCUUGUAUUAUCAUAGGGGGUUGAUGGAAUAAAGUAGGUCUUGAAAUGUCA
Long non-coding RNA from Alosa sapidissima (American shad), 657 nucleotides. RefSeq lists it as uncharacterized. The transcript has 2 exons. NCBI's taxonomy places the organism in Eukaryota, Metazoa, Chordata, Actinopteri, Clupeiformes, Clupeidae. The record is from RefSeq and is a predicted model, not a curated record.